GGUUCAGGCCCAUGUAGGGCUCGUUCAUAUGGAGGAGAAAGUAUGAAGUGGGCACCACACCCAGUUUGCAGCAUGCCUCUAUGUCCAUUAAUCCAGUAAACUGAGCAGAAACAAAACAAGGUGUGUUACAUGGGGAUAUUCUUACAACAUGACAUGCCUGUAUGCACCAAAGAGGGGACAUCAAUGGAAAGAGGAACUCCUGGCAUGUACCAGGGACUCACCCUCUAGGUCCAGCUCUUCCCUUUGUUAUCCAGCCUCUAAUGCCCACACAGCGGACCAGCCUGUGGCAUGCACCUUGGCCAUGAAGAGUCAUCACAGAUUGGAAACUGCAAAGGAUCAGAUAACCAUGGAGGUCGCAGGGUCAGCAGCGAGAAAUGGGUUUGAAGAGGGACUAUCUGGCGGCACAGAGACGCCUGGUGCGAAGCAGAUAACCACCUGGAAGCAGGUGCAGGAACUGGCGGCCACUAAGAGAGCUGAACCACCCAACUUCGAGAAGUCGUAUCUGGAUGAUCAGAGUUCCAUGUUCUACAACAGAAUAAUGUGGAGGGACUGGCAGUACCUGCAUGAAGUAGACCUCCCCAGCAGCCAGCACUUUGAUUUCACAGUCCUGUCCUACAACAUCCUCUCGCAGGACCUGCUAGAGAAGUACAUGUAUCUCUACCAGCACUGCUCCCCUGAUAUCCUCCGCUGGGAAUACCGCUGGCCCAAAAUCCUCAGGGAACUGCAGUACUGGGAUGCUGAGGUUCUCUGUCUUCAGGAGGUUCAAGAAGACCAUUACAGGCAGUACGUGCAGCCGACCCUCUCUGCAUACGGGUACAACUCGCACUACAAGCGGCGGACAGGCCGGAGAACCGAUGGUUGCUGCACCAGUUUCAAAGCUCAAUACUUCACGCUGCUCUGCGAGAGGCAUGUGGAAUAUUUCCGACCUGGGAUUGAAGUGUUAAACUGUGACAAUGUGGGGAUCGUGCUCUUACUGCAGCCAAGGCUCGCUGACUCACAAGACGGGUGCCCACCUACUCCGCUGUGUGUGGCAAAUACCCACCUUGCCUACCACCCUGAAAGAGGGGACGCUAAGCUGGCACAAGUGGCACUUUUACUGGCUGAGGUAGAUGAGCUCUCUUGUUCUAGUAACGGCUCUCGUUGCCCAAUCAUCCUGUGUGGAGAUCUGAACUCAACGCCCAACUCUCCGCUCUACCAGCUGCUGCACAAUGGUGUCCUGGAUUGCAAAAGAGGACUGCCAGCGUGGAAGGUCUCGGGACAGCGGCUCUCAGGACCACCUCAUUCAAAGCCUCUGUCUUCUCCUCUGUGGCCGGAUAUACUGGGGAUCAAUAACCACUGUCAAUAUGUUACACAGAAGGCAACAAGGACCACAGAUAGACGCAUGUACACCCGGGAAGACAUCCUGCAGCUCCGCGAUUAUGCGUUACUGCGCCCAGAGUAUCUUGCUGUGAUCGAGGGAGUGACCGAUAAACAGCCAGGGGGUGAGGAGUUGGGGCCACGCCUUCUUCUGCAGCACCGCCUUAACCUGACCUCUGCGUAUCUCCAUUACCUUGCGGCAAAAAACCGCCCGGAAGUAACCAUCCUCUCACUUGGUGUCGGAAGCACUGUGGAUUACAUCUUUUAUUCUGCUGAGCCGUUUCCAGCACGCCCGAAUAAAGGUCUACGCUUCUUCGUGGACGGUCAGUUGAAGCUAUUGGGGAGGUUGUGUCUUCUCUCUGAGGAUGAUCUGCUCAAGGCACAAGGGCUUCCAAACCCAUGGUACAGCUCAGACCACCUCCACCUGGUUGCCCGGUUCAGUUUGGAACUGUCGAAGUGACCAAUUGUGAUGUAGAGCCUACCGUCUGGCGUCCACCAUCAUUACCCCCAGGUUUGGUUUCAUGAAAUUGCAACCCCCCAACAUUUAAAGCAUCACCGAGUGCAGUCUCUCAUUCCUAAGACUCUGGGCAUGUGGUAUCAGAUGGUGGCAUGUGUUCUGUCUUUCUACGUGUGUUUAUACGGAAGGAUGUAGCGAGAGCUGAAGCGCGCCGUGCGGUCGCAGACUACAGUCUUGUUUGCAGCGUGCGGCUGUAUAGAGCGGAUAAGAUACCGCGUGCAGCUUAGGCUGGCAUGCACCACGGUGACUUGAAUAUUUUUACACACUGAACAAGAAAUAAGACCAGGCCGACUUAACUUGUUUAUUGGGAAUUCAGUGUAAAAGUGCUGGGAUAAAUAUGGUCAGAAAACAAGGUUCUCCGCUAGGCCGGUGCAUUCACACGAUACAUCGGGCAUGAGAGCAAUUACUGGGUCCUGACAGGCUGGCACAUGUGGCUUGGUGAUAAGGCAAUCUGCAAAGGGUUAAUACGGAGCUGUAGCCCUUUACCCCCCAUAGUGGUUAUUAACUGACCCCUCCCCAAUAUUCCAUUCACCCUCCACAGCAUCUUGUUCCCACAUCUCAAGUUUCACAUUUCAUUGAUGCAGGAACAAGUUGGCCCGAUCUGGAAUUGGCCACGGGUCCCUUUGCGUCACUGUACUAGUGGGGGGAGGGGUAUUCCAGGUAGCAUGAAGGGGUGAAAAAGGGCAAGUUCAUAAGGUGGGUGGUCUCUUCUCAGACCCGGAUCUGGUAGCCGCCGAGGUCAGGUAGAGAGUUGGGGUCCGCAGGUUUUUCCCCAGACGGCCUGCGGAGACAUAAAA
Molecule: RNA transcript, 2670 nt
Organism: Pseudophryne corroboree (corroboree frog)
Lineage: Eukaryota; Metazoa; Chordata; Amphibia; Anura; Myobatrachidae
Gene: ANGEL1
Gene name: angel homolog 1
Exons: 11
Source: RefSeq, a predicted model, not a curated record